Molecule: non-coding RNA, 2409 nt
Organism: Meleagris gallopavo (turkey)
Lineage: Eukaryota; Metazoa; Chordata; Aves; Galliformes; Phasianidae
Source: RefSeq, a predicted model, not a curated record
AAAGUAUGCACAGUCUGGUCCAAAGCUGCGUGGGGUGUAGCCCACAGAAAACCUAUUAUGGAUUGUCCAUACUCUGUCCAAAGGAGUUGUUCCUCCCUAGCCAUCUGCCCUUAACAUAGGCUCCUUCUCUAGCAGUAUAUAUAGACUGCUGGCUUUUCCUGUAAGAUUUAUAUUAUCUCUAGCUUCAGGCAUGUGGCUAUUCCUGUUGUUAUGAAAAGGGUAUACCACCUUAACUCCUUUUUCCUUUCAUUUUACUUCCCAUUUCCCUUAAACAGAUUGGCCCCUGAAGGUUUGUCACAGAUAGCAGUCAUCUUCUAUGUAGAAGUCAAUGUAUAUGCUGGGCUUUUUCUUAUGUAAUAUACAGCAUAUGCAACAGGAAAGUUAUAAGGCUACUAAUAUUAAAAAUGCUGUCUAUAAAUGGCACUGCAUACAGAAAUUUCUAGCUACAAUGUCCAUUUUCUUUCUAACAUGAAACCUAAGAAUUUUCUUUUUAUCUUUUAUAGAUCUUUACAGAAUUCAGUGAAUAAACCUCACUUGAACAGAAGCACAAACAUCAUGGCUCCCUGUGGCCAGAUGCUGUACUUGGAUGGUGUCCCACAGGCACUCUGUGUGUACAGCUACAAACACACACCAUCUGCACAAGAAGGCACACCUGGAAAGUGGUUUUCCUCUGGUUUUGUUAUCCUUGAUUAAACUCUGUUUUAAAGCAGAGAGCCUUAAUCAAAAGAAUUGCCUGACUGGAAGUAGCUAUGUCUGUCUUAGUUUUGUCACAGAUUCCCUCUGAAGACUGCAGGAUUUGGAUUUGCAUAACAAUUUCAAAAAAGGGCUCACUGUGGAGGAGUAAUAUUUUCAGAAGGAUUUCACCCUUAAGAGAAAAAAUCCAACUGAAUGAAUUAAAGGAGAAAAUAAUAGGGUACCACAGAAAUGUGAUAGAUUUCAAUAGCAAUUACUAUAAAAUCCUAUAGAAUUUAUUAGAAAAAUGCUUUACUUUAGUAAUAUUAUUUUAUAAUUCACAGGAAUUUCACUCCUGAAUGAACUUAAGGAAAUGUAAAAGGAAACACUGGAGGGCAAGUUUAAAGUGAUGCUACCCCACAAUUUUAGAAAAUGGAGGCCAUGUCAGUGCUUUACUUCACAAGGCUCAGCAAAUGUGAGGCUAUGUGAGGAAGAAAAAAAAGGAAAAAGAAAAAGGAAGAAUCUUUUAUACUCAGUUAUCUUUGAGAUAGGGCAGGAUCAACAAAACAUAGUGUUUAUUCUGCGCUGAAUCACACACGGGAAGGAAGAUCCAUGUGGAUUCAGGUAUAUGUAUGAAAUUACAUGUGCAUGUAUUGCAGAGAGUUUCUAGUGCCUCGUUCCAGGCCAUUCCUGAACAAAACUACAUCUCAUUGCCAGCCUAACACCAACCCCAUGCUGGAGCUCCUAGCUUAUUACAGAUCUCUAAUGGCUUCUGGUAGCGUGUAACAAAGCUCUGAGUCCCUGUACCUGUUAACAAAAUGACAAGCUGCUUCCUGCCUCUGAUCUCUCAUCCUGACCUCUGCACCACACAGAAAAGACAGGAAACUAUAUCUUUGUAAUGUGAAAACUUUUUCCCUGGCCAUUUACAGUAACCAAAAGCAACUAGAUUGAAAGGUUGAGACAAAAGCUACCAGGUAUAAAAAUAAGCUCCAGGAAAAGAAAAAGAAAAAAUAAAACCGGUACAGUUUUUGAAGCGAUCAAAUGCAGAGAAAGAGGUGUUUACUAAGUUUGCAAAUAGUCUGUGCUAACCAGUUUUAGCUUCUUAACAGCAGUGAUAUAGCUUUAAAAAGCAACAGUAGAAAAGCACUUAGUUUACUAAAUAAUAUGCUUUUUUUAUCCUUGAUGAAAGGCUGCUUCUUAUCACACAGACAUCAAGGCAAGCCACCCAGUGGUACUAAUUUCAAGCCCUGCUGCUGUAAUGCUUACUGCAUAGGAUAAAAUGGCAAUGGAUUCAAAAGAGUUAGCGGUACAUUUAAAACAGAAAUAAUACUGAAAAUUGUUAGCUUCUGAAAUAUGCAUGAGAAUUUUCGUAAAACAUCUGCUAAGAACUGGCAAAGGUCUAUAACCGAUAGUUGGGGCUGGGUGAGGCAUGGAAAUAAAGGUAAGUACCUGAAAGAUCUUUGACACUCUCAGUGGGUGUUAUGCUACGUGGUUUGUAGAUCCCUCUUACAGCAGUGUGGGUUGCUCUUUCUUUUUCCCACUUUACAUCCUUUCUCUGAAGUUGUCUGUUCAGUCAGCAAACAUGCUUCCACUUGAAGCUUCUUUGACCUGAUUUAUAUUUUAGAAAAUACACAUGUUACAAGCACAAUUGAAUGUUCAGUUCCCACUUUCACCUCUGGCACUAUUCCUUCCCCCUUUCCUGAACCAAGUCUCAGCACAUCCUUUCCCCAAGCUCAC